RNAcentral lists this ribosomal RNA (459 nucleotides) under uncultured bacterium. RNAcentral describes it as "partial 16S ribosomal RNA". It matches the Rfam family "Bacterial small subunit ribosomal RNA", at positions 338 to 795 of the family's 1533-position model. The record is from RNAcentral.
CCUACGGGAGGCAGCAGUGAGGAAUAUUGGUCAAUGGGCGCGAGCCUGAACCAGCCAAGUCGCGUGAGGGAAGACGGUCCUAUGGAUUGUAAACCUCUUUUGUCGGGGAGCAAAAGACGCCACGCGUGGCGUUCCGAGAGUACCCGAAGAAAAAGCAUCGGCUAACUCCGUGCCAGCAGCCGCGGUAAUACGGAGGAUGCGAGCGUUAUCCGGAUUUAUUGGGCGUAAAGGGUGCGUAGAUGGCAUAGUAAGUCUUUUGUAAAACUGCUGGGCUCAACCCAGUAGGGCAAAAGAUACUGCAAAGCUAGCGUAUGCCAGAGGCAAGUGGAACUACAUGUGUAGCGGUUACAUGCGUACAUAUAUGUAAGACCACCAGUGGCGAAGGCGGCUUGCUGGGUCGAUACUGACAUUGAGGCACGAACGCGUGGGGAGCAAACAGGAUUAGAUACCCGAGUAGUC